RNAcentral lists this ribosomal RNA (495 nucleotides) under uncultured bacterium. Its description in RNAcentral is "partial 16S ribosomal RNA". It matches the Rfam family "Bacterial small subunit ribosomal RNA", at positions 28 to 507 of the family's 1533-position model. The record is from RNAcentral.
GACGAACGCUGGCGGCGUGCCUAAUACAUGCAAGUAGAACGCUGAAGGAGGAGCUUGCUUCUCUGGAUGAGUUGCGAACGGGUGAGUAACGCGUAGGUAACCUGCCUGGUAGCGGGGGAUAACUAUUGGAAACGAUAGCUAAUACCGCAUAAUAGUAGAUGUUGCAUGACAUUUGCUUAAAAGGUGCAAUUGCAUCACUACCAGAUGGACCUGCGUUGUAUUAGCUAGUUGGUGGGGUAACGGCUCACCAAGGCGACGAUACAUAGCCGACCUGAGAGGGGGAUCGGCCACACUGGGACUGAGACACGGCCCAGACUCCUACGGGAGGCAGCAGUAGGGAAUCUUCGGCAAUGGACGGAAGUCUGACUGAGCAACGCCGCGUGAGUGAAGAAGGUUUUCGGAUCGUAAAGCUCUGUUGUAAGAGAAGAACGAGUGUGAGAGUGGAAAGUUCACACUGUGACGGUAUCUUACCAGAAAGGGACGGCUAACUACGUG